UCCUAGAUGACUGAGAUAUAAGUGUUAGAUUUUUAAUCUAAAAACGGCAAAAUUAAUAUGCCUCUAAGAA
RNAcentral lists this transfer RNA (70 nucleotides) under Cryptonatica andoi. RNAcentral describes it as "tRNA-Lys". The record is from RNAcentral. Lineage: Eukaryota; Metazoa; Mollusca; Gastropoda; Littorinimorpha; Naticidae.